UACAGAGGGUGCAAACGUUGUUCGGAAUUACUGGGCGUAAAGCGCGUGUAGGCGGCUAUGCAAGUCGGGCGUGAAAUCCCACGGCUCAACCGUGGAAGUGCACUCGAAACUGCGUAGCUAGAGUCCCGGAGAGGAAGGUGGAAUACUUGGUGUAGAGGUGAAAUUCGUAGAUAUCAAGUGGAACACCGGUGGCGAAGGCGGCCUUCUGGACGGUGACUGACGCUGAGACGCGAAAGCGUGGGGAGCAAACAGG
RNAcentral lists this ribosomal RNA (253 nucleotides) under uncultured bacterium. Its description in RNAcentral is "partial 16S ribosomal RNA". It matches the Rfam family "Bacterial small subunit ribosomal RNA", at positions 524 to 776 of the family's 1533-position model. The record is from RNAcentral.